This is a long non-coding RNA of Drosophila sulfurigaster albostrigata, 527 nucleotides long. RefSeq lists it as uncharacterized. The transcript has 2 exons. The record is from RefSeq and is a predicted model, not a curated record. NCBI's taxonomy places the organism in Eukaryota, Metazoa, Arthropoda, Insecta, Diptera, Drosophilidae.
UCUCCCAAACUUCGCUUUCAUACGUAUAAUAUCUAUAUCUGUGAGAAAUGGUCGUAGUUUUUGCCAAACUUUUGUCAUUUAAUUGCAUCGUGUUCUCGGUGUGUUUAUGAAAUAUUUGUGUGUCAGUUACAGUUGCCACUGCAGCCUUUUCUUUCGGUGCAUAUGUGUCAGCGAUUUUAAUAAAUGGUAUAGCGUAGUGCCAACUAAAUUGAAAUCUCUGGAGCAUUUUGUGGCGCAGAGCACACAGUCGAUGAGACGCAGUUGGAAAUUUGCUAUUUUUCAUUUUAGUGAAGUGAUGCAAAUGGUUUUUGCCUUUUUAAUUUGUUGAUUGUCAGCAAAUGCAGCAACACACACAGCUAGAUAGAAGGGGCGUGUAAUUGACUUUAGAUAUGGCCAGGUUAAGCAGGCAGACCAAAUUUCCAUCAUUUCAUUGGAAAUGUUACAAAGAGAGACGAAAUGGAAAGAAGAAUUGAUCAGGAAGUAACAAGUGUGAAGUGGGGAAGAAAAAUUUAAGCUAUUAAUGCAUG